UCUAUGGAUGGCAGCAGGCGCGUAAACUGCCCAAUCCUCAUUGAGGGAGGCGGUGACGAGCAGUAUUGAGGCGCGGCCAUUCGGUCGCGCUUCUGAAAUGAAAGAUGCAUAGAACACACGACAGAAAGCGAGAAGAGGGCAAGUCUGGUGCCAGCAGCCGCGGUAAUUCCAGCUCUUCGAGCGUAUAUUAAAGUUGUUGCGUUUAAAACGCCCGUAGUUGGAUUUCUCGGGUGGCGAGGUCCGGCCUCAGUGCGGUGGGUUUCACAGUGCGAAUCUCCUUCGGUUGUGCUUCCUUCACUUUCUUGAGUUUUUCUCUUUUGUUCUUCCUUUAACGAGGUUGGAUGAACUUGGAGGGCGAGAGAAGGGGUUGGGUCAAUGGUGCUUCUGGGGGCCGUCUGUUUAACGGCUCGCCGUGUUGCAGCGUCCGGACGCCUUGGGUCUGUGCCGCCUUCGUGAGCUUUCGAAUUUAUUUUCGUCUGUGAGCGGGGAUGCGGCCCCCUUGGUCUUAUGCUUGCGCCCGGUGGUGCGGCCAAGAUAAGUUGUGGGUGGGGAAUUUAUUUCUCAUUCAUUUCCGUUUUCUUACCGCGCCAUGUUACCAUAAAGAAAUUGGAGUGUUUAAAGCAGGUCGAUUCGGCCCUUGCACAGUCCAGUAUGGAAUAAUAAAGCAGGACUUUCGUCCGUUUAUUGGCUUUCCGGACUGAAAAGUAAUGAUUAAUAGGGGCAGUUGGGGGCAUUAGUACUGGGGCGGGAGAGGUAAAAUUCUAUGAUCGCCCCAAGACUCACUAAAGCGAAAGCAUUUGCCAAGGAUGUUUUCAUUAAUCAAGGACGAUAGUUGGGGGAGAGAAGGAGAUCAGACACCUCCGUAUUCCCAACCAUAAACGAUGCCAUCUAGGGAUUGGGCGAGCCCAUAUUUCCUAGAACUCCCUCAGGACCUUUCGAGAAAUCAUAAGAAUUCAGGUUACGGGGGGAGUAUGGUCGCAAGGCAGAAACUUAAAGGAAUUGACGGAAGGGCACCACAAU
RNAcentral lists this ribosomal RNA (1020 nucleotides) under Chilomastix cuspidata. RNAcentral's name for it is "partial small subunit ribosomal RNA". It matches the Rfam family "Eukaryotic small subunit ribosomal RNA", at positions 415 to 1173 of the family's 1831-position model. Lineage: Eukaryota; Fornicata; Retortamonadidae. The record is from RNAcentral.